GACGAACGCUGGCGGCGUGCCUAAUACAUGCAAGUAGAACGCACAGUUUAUACCGUAGCUUGCUACACCAUAGACUGUGAGUUGCGAACGGGUGAGUAACGCGUAGGUAACCUGCCUGGUAGCGGGGGAUAACUAUUGGAAACGAUAGCUAAUACCGCAUAAUAUUAAUUAUUGCAUGAUAAUUAAUUGAAAGGUGCAAUUGCACCACUACCAGAUGGACCUGCGUUGUAUUAGCUAGUAGGUGAGGUAACGGCUCACCUAGGCGACGAUACAUAGCCGAACUGGAGGGGGGGUCGGCCAAACUGGGACUGAGACAAGGCCCAGACUCCCUCGGGAGGCAAGAGGAGGGAAUCUUCGGGAAGGGACGAAAGUCCUACCGAGCAACGGCGGGGGAGGGAAAGAGGUUUUCGGAUCUUAAAGCUCUGUUUUAAGGGAAGAACGGGUGGGGGAGGGGAAAGUUCCCACUGGGACGGUAUCUUAACAGAAAGGGACGGCUAACUACGU
RNAcentral lists this ribosomal RNA (504 nucleotides) under uncultured bacterium. Its description in RNAcentral is "partial 16S ribosomal RNA". It matches the Rfam family "Bacterial small subunit ribosomal RNA", at positions 28 to 506 of the family's 1533-position model. The record is from RNAcentral.